Molecule: long non-coding RNA, 1301 nt
Organism: Junco hyemalis (dark-eyed junco)
Lineage: Eukaryota; Metazoa; Chordata; Aves; Passeriformes; Passerellidae
Source: Ensembl
CCUGAUGUUUCUCUCCUUUCUCUGUUCUUUAAGGAGUCUUCAGGCAUGGCAACACACAGACAGCCACGCAUCCACCCACCACCAGGGAAUGAGGGAGCUGGAAGCUCUGGGACAAGGAGGUGGUGUAAAGACUAAAUAGAAGGUGAGUAAGGUAAGGUUGGAAGUGCCAUGGCAGGGAGGACACAAGGAGGGGUAGGCUGGGCAGGGAGGCGAUGUGGGUAGGGUGGGUUGGGUCUCCAGAUUGGGUUGGGAGCCACGCUGAUGUUCCUCAGGAUCUAAAUCCAGCGCUGCUGGCAUGGGGAGGCCUGAGGGCGCCUGGCCAAGGAGGUGGAAGAGACAGACCUGGAUGAAAACAAGCUGAAAUACAGCGUGUUGAGGCAAGGCUGUGAGAGAGACCCACAACUGCCUUAAGGACCUGCAAACCAGUGAGAUUUCUGAGUUAACAAUUUCUCUGCUGCCACCAGGUGCCUGCGGAGGUCACUGGAAAUUAGCAUGUCCACACCCCAGGAGAGCUCUGACAACCUACUCAGACCACUCUUUGCUUCUCCUUGCUCAGAUGCAGAAGGCUGGCAAUGGUGUAGGCAGUGGAGAUCAAGAUGAUUUGCUGCCACUUCUCAUUAGUUAGUGCCAUCCACCCUGUGUGUUGAGACACAGAAAAAUGUACUGCUUGUUAAUGGCAUUCAGGGCCUGUGUGUCCCUGGGAGUUGUACUUGCAAGGUCUAAAAUUAAACAGCAUGGAUGAUUUUAGUUCUGGGUUUCUUCAGCAGUAUUUUGGGAGAAACCUUAAUAUCCGGUUUUGAACAAGAUUUCUGUGCCUAAUUUCCUGCCUUUACUUCCCUACCACACUCUUUCUGCUGGCUACUUGAGUGGAAAUAUUUCGUCCUGGACUUCCUCCUUCCAACUGUGCCACUCUGCUUUGGAGUAUGAUGGAUUCUCCCUUCUCAGCACCCGAGUCCAGCAAGAAGCAGGAGCAGGGCGGAGGAGACAAGGCAGAGAUGGAAAGCCUAAUCUGUUGCCAAGACCCAUUAUCCUUCGACUUGAGUCAAACAGUGCACCUUGCUUAUUGAAUCAGGGAAUAGUGUGUGUUUUAUGAAGACAGAAAGGAAAAGUUGUUAUUCUCAUGUGAGAAAAAGAAGGAGGAGAAGAAAAAGUGGCCCAUUCCUAUUUGUGAAGCUCUUGCCCCUCAUAAAUCACAGGACUCUGCACUACAGUGAGCAGCUCUGACUGCAAAGUGCUGUAAGUAAUGUAAAAGAUAUGUUAAGAGAAGUGCAUACUUUUCAGGUUUUGUACAUUUCAAAAAC